GCCAAUGAUGGAGACUUUACAUAUGGCUGAAAUGCAAGUUAUUGCAUUUGUUGAAAAUUUUGAACUAGGACGGUCUGAGGC
Non-coding RNA from Cicer arietinum (chickpea), 81 nucleotides. The record is from Rfam. NCBI's taxonomy places the organism in Eukaryota, Viridiplantae, Streptophyta, Magnoliopsida, Fabales, Fabaceae.